Molecule: long non-coding RNA, 456 nt
Filed under: Nicotiana benthamiana
Lineage: Eukaryota; Viridiplantae; Streptophyta; Magnoliopsida; Solanales; Solanaceae
Description: long non-coding RNA (NBEN_LNC017508)
Source: RNAcentral
CUAGAUCUGAAAAUUUUCUCAAAAUCAUUCCACAAGUUUCAAAUCUGAUUUUGAAUUUCAAAUUCCCAAAAGCUUCAAAACCAAAACAAAAAAAGUAAAAUAUAAGAAAACUACAAAAAAUAGAGUACUAUUACAUUGAAGUAUUAGAUCAAUUACAUGUUAAUUGUUUAUUCUGAUUCCUACUGAUUCUAGGUUCGAAUUCGAGCUAUUUUGGGUAUUAGUCAAACUGUUUUGGGUAGUUUACUGGCAGAGGUCGUUCUGGGUGAAAUUUCAAGUUUGCUGGGUUUUAAUUGAGUCUUAUUUGAGCAUUCAGUUGGUGCUGCUUCUUAUUCUUUCACUUCUGGGUCAUUGAGGCUAUUCUAGGGUCGAAUCUGACCCUGUGCUGCUUGAAUUUUGGUUAUUGUGGCCUGCUAGUUACUGAUGCUGAUACUUCAUUCUCAUUUUUCACAUUUCCAG